Aphis gossypii (cotton aphid) is the source of this 886-nucleotide long non-coding RNA. RefSeq lists it as uncharacterized. The transcript is spliced from 3 exons. The record is from RefSeq and is a predicted model, not a curated record. NCBI's taxonomy places the organism in Eukaryota, Metazoa, Arthropoda, Insecta, Hemiptera, Aphididae.
AUUAAUCAAACGCAUCGCACACGAACAGAUGAUCCCGACUUAAGUGGGGUUGCGGUCGGUGUCGGUGUGCAGUGGGGCGGGUCGUUACCGUGUUACACCUCCGCGCGGCGAUAACGUUAUUUGGCUGGUUUAGGCCUUUUACAUAUUAUAUUAUACAUAGGGUAUACUGCAGGCACCGCCAGUCGGCACACGCCAAUAAGUGAUAAUAAUAUAUACGCGACUAUCGACAGCCGACAAACGUAUCGCAAGUCCGACGAUUUACAUUUACGGUUUUUAAUUUCUUCACCUCGAUCGUCCUUAUUGUGUCUAAAAAUUGGAACGUUUUACGUGAAUAUAAUUUCGAGUGCGGCCGGCUGCAAAGUCAUUAUAAUAUAUUUAUGUAUUAUCUAUAUAGCUGAUAUAUACGUUGUCAAAAGUAAAUCGUAAAUACCGGUAGUACGUAUGCGUAUUAUAUUAUCGGUACGUCAUGCACCGGACUAGAUUAUAUACGAGAAUAUUAUCGGUCGACGAUAUCCGCGAUGGGAUCGAAAUAUUUAGCUGUCGAUUUUUACCGUUCCGGUUGCAUGUAUUGAGAACACUGUGUCGAAUGAGCGUGCCCGUUCAGUAAACAGAAAAUUAUACAUAUAUACCUAUAUAUAUAUAAAAAAAAACUAUUUACCGCUGCAGAAAUACAUAUACACAGUGUGUGUAUGAUAUGGCGACCGUUUGCGAAAUGUCUGACACGUCGCCAAACGAGUUAAUGUAUUAUGUGCAGUGCUUGACUUGGAGAAGAAAUAUAAUAACUGAUAUAGGUACUUUGAUGACACGAAAAAAAUUUGCAUUUUUAGCUAAUUAAUAUACGAAAUCGCAGAAAUAUACAUAAACACUACGGGACAUUUUGCUUCAC